This 403-nucleotide ribosomal RNA is filed under the name uncultured bacterium. Its description in RNAcentral is "bacterial SSU rRNA". It matches the Rfam family "Bacterial small subunit ribosomal RNA", at positions 976 to 1380 of the family's 1533-position model. The record is from RNAcentral.
AGGUCUUGACAUCCUCUGAUACCUCUAGAGAUAGAGCAUUCCCUUCGGGGACAGAGUGACAGGUGGUGCAUGGUUGUCGUCAGCUCGUGUCGUGAGAUGUUGGGUUAAGUCCCGUAACGAGCGCAACCCUUGAUCUUAGUUGCCAGCAUUAAGUUGGGCACUCUAAGGUGACUGCCGGUGACAAACCGGAGGAAGGUGGGGAUGACGUCAAAUCAUCAUGCCCCUUAUGACCUGGGCUACACACGUGCUACAAUGGAUGGAACAAAGGGCAGCGAAGCCGCGAGGUGAAGCGAAUCCCAUAAAACCAUUCUCAGUUCGGAUUGUAGGCUGCAAUUCGCCUACAUGAAGCAGGAAUCGCUAGUAAUCGCGGAUCAGCAUGCCGCGGUGAAUACGUUCCCGGGCC